Molecule: ribosomal RNA, 254 nt
Filed under: uncultured bacterium
Lineage: Bacteria
Description: partial 16S ribosomal RNA
Rfam family: Bacterial small subunit ribosomal RNA
Source: RNAcentral
UACGGAGGAUCCAAGCGUUAUCCGGGAUUUAUUGGGUUUAAAGGGUGCGUAGGCGGCCUAUUAAGUCAGGGGUGAAAGACGGUAGCUUAACUAUCGCAGUGCCUUUGAUACUGAUGGGCUUGAAUGAACUAGAGGUAGGCGGAAUGUGACAAGUAGCGGUGAAAUGCAUAGAUAUGUCACAGAACACCAAUUGCGAAGGCAGCUUACUAUGGUUUUAUUGACGCUGAGGCACGAAAGCGUGGGGAUCAAACAGG